UACGUAGGUGGCAAGCGUUGUCCGGAUUUACUGGGCGUAAAGAGCGCGCAGGCGGUCGUUCAAGUCGCGUGUGAAAGCCCCCGGCUCAACUGGGGAGGGUCACGCGAUACUGAUCGACUCGAAGGCAGGAGAGGGUAGUGGAAUUCCCGGUGUAGUGGUGAAAUGCGCAGAUAUCAGGAGGAACACCGAUGGCGAAGGCAGGUCACUGGGCCGCAACUGACGCUGAGGAGCGAAAGCAUGGGGAGCGAACAGG
This 253-nucleotide ribosomal RNA is filed under the name uncultured bacterium. RNAcentral's name for it is "partial 16S ribosomal RNA". It matches the Rfam family "Bacterial small subunit ribosomal RNA", at positions 524 to 776 of the family's 1533-position model. The record is from RNAcentral.